This 1017-nucleotide ribosomal RNA is filed under the name uncultured bacterium. RNAcentral describes it as "bacterial SSU rRNA". It matches the Rfam family "Bacterial small subunit ribosomal RNA", at positions 355 to 1375 of the family's 1533-position model. The record is from RNAcentral.
UGAGGAAUAUUGGUCAAUGGGCGAGAGCCUGAACCAGCCAAGUAGCGUGAAGGAUGACUGCCCUAUGGGUUGUAAACUUCUUUUAUAAAGGAAUAAAGUCGGGUAUGGAUACCCGUUUGCAUGUACUUUAUGAAUAAGGAUCGGCUAACUCCGUGCCAGCAGCCGCGGUAAUACAGAGGAUCCGAGCGUUAUCCGGAUUUAUUGGGUUUAAAGGGAGCGUAGAUGGAUGUUUAAGUCAGUUGUGAAAGUUUGCGGCUCAACCGUAAAAUUGCAGUUGAUACUGGAUAUCUUGAGUGCAGUUGAGGCAGGCGGAAUUCGUGGUGUAGCGGUGAAAUGCUUAGAUAUCACGAAGAACUCCGAUUGCGAAGGCAGCCUGCUAAGCUGCAACUGACAUUGAGGCUCGAAAGUGUGGGUAUCAAACAGGAUUAGAUACCCUGGUAGUCCACACGGUAAACGAUGAAUACUCGCUGUUUGCGAUAUACUGCAAGCGGCCAAGCGAAAGCGUUAAGUAUUCCACCUGGGGAGUACGCCGGCAACGGUGAAACUCAAAGGAAUUGACGGGGGCCCGCACAAGCGGAGGAACAUGUGGUUUAAUUCGAUGAUACGCGAGGAACCUUACCCGGGCUUAAAUUGCAGAUGAAUUACGGUGAAAGCCGUAAGCCGCAAGGCAUCUGUGAAGGUGCUGCAUGGUUGUCGUCAGCUCGUGCCGUGAGGUGUCGGCUUAAGUGCCAUAACGAGCGCAACCCUUGUUGUCAGUUACUAACAGGUUCCGCUGAGGACUCUGACAAGACUGCCAUCGUAAGAUGUGAGGAAGGUGGGGAUGACGUCAAAUCAGCACGGCCCUUACGUCCGGGGCUACACACGUGUUACAAUGGGGGGUACAGAGGGCCGCUACCACGCGAGUGGAUGCCAAUCCCCAAAACCUCUCUCAGUUCGGACUGGAGUCUGCAACCCGACUCCACGAAGCUGGAUUCGCUAGUAAUCGCGCAUCAGCCACGGCGCGGUGAAUACGUUCCC